Molecule: ribosomal RNA, 327 nt
Filed under: uncultured eukaryote
Lineage: Eukaryota
Description: partial 18S ribosomal RNA
Rfam family: Eukaryotic small subunit ribosomal RNA
Source: RNAcentral
CCCUUAGAUGUUCUGGGCUGCACACGCGCUACACUGAAGGAGGCAGCGUGUACUCCUGGAUCGAAAGAUUUGGGUAACCCGCGAAUCUCCUUCGUGCUAGGGAUUGAGGUUUGCAAUUAUCCUUCAUGAACGAGGAAUUCCCAGUAAGUGCAAGUCAUAAGCUUGCGCUGACUACGUCCCUGCCCUUUGUACACACCGCCCGUCGCUACUACCGAUUGAAUGAUUUAGUGAGGACUUCGGACUGGGACCGAUGCGGCUUUCGGGCUGCGUCGGUAUUCUGGAAAGAUGUCCAAACUGUNUNAUUUAGNGGAAGUAAAANUCGUANCA